UUCCCCUUCGGGGGACAAAGUGACAGGUGGUGCAUGGUUGUCGUCAGCUCGUGUCGUGAGAUGUUGGGUUAAGUCCCGCAACGAGCGCAACCCUUAAGCUUAGUUGCCAUCAUUAAGUUGGGCACUCUAAGUUGACUGCCGGUGACAAACCGGAGGAAGGUGGGGAUGACGUCAAAUCAUCAUGCCCCUUAUGAUUUGGGCUACACACGUGCUACAAUGGACAAUACAAAGGGCAGCGAAACCGUGAGGUCAAGCAAAUCCCAUAAAGUUGUUCUCAGUUCGGAUUGUAGUCUGCAACUCGACUACAUGAAGCUGGAAUCGCUAGUAAUCGUAGAUCAGCAUGCUACGGUGAAUACGUUCCCGGGUCUUGUACACACCGCCCGUCACACCACGAGAGUUUGUAACACCCGAAGCCGGUGGAGUAACCUUUUAGGAGCUAGCCGUCGAAGGUGGGACAAAUGAUUGGGGUGAAGUCGUAACAAGGUAGCUGUAUCGGAAGGUGCGGCUGGAUCACCUCCUUU
This 521-nucleotide ribosomal RNA is filed under the name Staphylococcus aureus. Its description in RNAcentral is "bacterial SSU rRNA". It matches the Rfam family "Bacterial small subunit ribosomal RNA", at positions 1013 to 1533 of the family's 1533-position model. Lineage: Bacteria; Bacillati; Bacillota; Bacilli; Caryophanales; Staphylococcaceae. The record is from RNAcentral.